Non-coding RNA from Macaca mulatta (Rhesus monkey), 3774 nucleotides. The record is from RefSeq and is a predicted model, not a curated record. Lineage: Eukaryota; Metazoa; Chordata; Mammalia; Primates; Cercopithecidae.
AGUGGCAUCCUCAUGCAAGCUGGUCUACUGGUGGCUGCCCCACUGACCUGCUUCUGAAUGGACAGGCAGGAAAGGUCUCCCACUGUGUUGCAUUUAAAGAAAAGAAAAAGAUGAAUGAAGUAAAAAACUCUGCAAACAACUGAGUGUAAUUAUUGGAAAUGAAAAGUUGUCCUGGCCCCUAGAAGGGUUGCUGGCUGUCAACCCUGGUUCUAUGAUGCAUGUGUAGUGUGGAGAUUCAACUAAAUGGAUCAUCUAUGGCAAGAGGCUUCAAGAAAAGCAUGAAGAAAAUGCACUUCUGGCCACAAGCAUAUUUCUGUACACCUGAGUUCUCCUGAAAUUUGAGACACAACACAGUACCUCACGCACUACUGAAGUCCACAGAUUUUGGGAAACAUCAACCAGUAUACGGCAAAAUGAGAAUCUGCUUAUAUUUCAAGAAGAUUGUCCUGGAAAGUGAUAUUAUAUGAAUCAUCACAUGUUAAAAUAACCUUGUCUGGGCCAACUUGCUUUGCUACUCUAUUGCAAUUUGAGUCAAUGAAUUAUAGUGGCUUGCACCAUUCCCUCUAAAUAUUAGAACUCGCAUAACUAGACAGGCCAAUGUUCAGACACAACAAUCGACAGCAGCAUUUCUGUAGUUAGAAAAAUCUGAUGGAUAAAGUGAUGUCUUUGUUCGAGUUAAGCAGAACCGCUUAAGAAGGAAAUAUCCUAAGGGCAAAGCUUCAAAGGCAAUGGAACACAGAGAGGAGAGUAAGUGGCAUCAAAGAGGGAUGCUGAUUUACUUUAAAACUGUGCACAGAUUCCCCUAGAGCUAGCUGACUCAUUACAGUACCUCCAGAACAAAGAUGAAGGUGAAAACAACUGACAUUGUUGCCAAAGGUACGGUCACCGGGUCCUCGACGUCCCACUGCAACAGAAACAGCGCACGAGUCAUUGCCCACAUCCAUCAGACACAUACAGGCUUGCCCCUCUUCUGCCCACUUUGCCAUGACAGUGAAUCUUAAUUUUUAUACCCAAGAACAUAACUGUGAAUGCAUAUAGCAGCUUGUGAUACUCUCGGAUGUAGCAGUGAAUACACAAUUCAUUCCCGGAGCCUUAGGGUGAAACUAAGUACCUUGACAGAGAGCAACACCGACUGGGCCAGGACGAGCAAUGCAAUUGUCCUCUUAAAAAAUGGAUGCUGGGUUAUGUCAUACAUUUUAGCUCUAAAACCAUCAUUAUCUAGAAAAGAAAGGUUUGGGCAAGGGCAUGUUAGACACAGGUCACAUUUACUUUCUUGCCAUUUAUUUUCUUAAAUGCUUAUCUUAAAACCCAUUACAUUUUCCUCCCCAAACAAUUCCAUCUAUUGUGAGGUGUUUUUGCAGCAAUGGCUGGCUCUGAAUAUUUAAAAUGACAGUGCAUGACGCCGUCUAUAUUGGAAAGAGAAGUGCAUCAUUCAAUUUCUGUCAGUUUAAUACAUUUCACUCAUAUUUUUAAAAGGCAAGCACAAAUAUAUUUUAUUUAAAAAAUUCAUUUUUUCAUUAAGGCUUAGUCUGAGAGCACUGAAGCACAGCUUUUGGGUGGUUGCUUUUAAUAGCCUUAUUGAGAGAUCUGUGGUUUGGAGGCUGUUUCCGUAUUAACUUAUGCACAGCCUCCCAGCGGCCUCACGAUUAUUAUUUUAAUUUAAAUCUGAGACUCCUGGGGAAUCGUGCACACUAGUGCCCAACAUGAAUAAAAUCAGAACAUCUUGGGUACCCGGGCGAGGCGGGAGAUGAAGAGGCUGUGCGAUCUUCAGUCGGCUCUUCAGGUCUUCCCAUCUUCUCUGAUCGACGGUCAGCAAAGCUGUUCCCUUAACAGACAAAGGAAAGCAGGAAACGGCCUUUUGUCAUGUGCUUGCACCAAGAACAUGGCAGAUGGGGUGCAGAGACAAACAAGACUGAUGUGGGGGUUGCGCUGACCAUGUUCUUCCAACCGUGGUGGUUAGAAAACAUGGUCAGAAUGCUCAAAGUUGGUCUUGGGAAGAGUUCCCAAAAUGAUGACCAGGUGUUUCAGAGAGAAUUCAGCAGCCUUCAACUUGUAUCUUUGGAGAUAUGUAAUAUUCAGGUUUGGGAAAAUAUAAAAAGGAGUUUCUACAUAAUUACAUUUUCAAAAAAGGACACUCACUCAUAGUAGUUAGUUUCCUUUCAUUUCAUAGCAGCAAAAUUAUAGCUUGUCAAUGCUAUGGCUUCUAGUUAAGGGUAUUUUGUCUUUAAAAAAUGUCUAAUAUGUGUAAUUGCAAAACUGUUUCUGAGAGAUACUAAGUCACAGAGUUUGCAUUUCAAGAAAUUAGUGCUGUGAUGCCUAAAUGGAAUUCCAUAUUCUAUAUAAUGGAGUACUUGAUUAAAAUGCAUAUGAUAAAAUUAUAUUUUAUUGCACUGCAGUGCAUCAUAUUUUAUCAUAACGGCAGAAGUGUAAUUUUAAAAACUAGACAAAAACCCCACUCUCCCUUUUCUUACCCAGAGCUAACCACUACUCUUCAGGUGUGCAUCCUCCUUACUAUGUUUUCAGACUUUCGUGCUUAUGUAUGUAUCAAUACAUAAGAAUUUGUUUUGAAUUUUUUAAUAUUAUAGAAAUGCUGUCCAAUAUGUGAUUAUUUAUGCUGUUUCUUUAUACUUUCAUUCAACAGUAUACUUUCCAUACAACUAGAUUACUAGAUCUAACUUGUUCAACUGCUCACAAACACUGUCCACUGUACAAAUAUCAUAAUUUAUUCAUUUUACAUUUAUGGACUAUAACCAGUUCUGCAAUAAGCAUCCAUGUACUGUCUCACAGUAAAUAUCUAUGAGGGUUUCUCCAUUGUAAAUCUCUAGGAGAAGAAUUGAUGGGAUCUAGGAAUUUAAACAUCUUUACAUUUACCAGAUGUUGCCAACUUGCUUUCCAAAGAGCGAUAACCAAAACAAAUCUCCUACCAGCAAUAUAGAAGUGUUACCAUAUCUUAAUAUUCUUGCAAUACUGGAUAUUACUAGACAUUGUAAUCUGACCACUUUGAUAGGUGUGAAAUGUAUCUAAUGUUGUUUUAAUAUUAACGAGAUGAAACAUUUGUAUGUGUGUAAAUGGUGAUGCUUGUAUCUUCCUAUGUGAAUUGCCUAUUCAUAUCCUUUGCUCAUUUCUGUAUUUUGAUAUUUACUUUUUAAUUGUUUGUAGAGAUUCUUUAUAAAUGCUGGAUACUAAUCUUUUGUCAAUUAUAUAAGUUGUAAAUAUUUUCUCUUAGUCUUGGCUUGUAUUUUUAUUUUGCUUAGAGUGUCUUUUGUCAUUCAGAAAAUUUUAAUUUAAAUAUAAUAGAGUUUAUAAUUUUUUUUCCUUUGUAGAUUUUACUUGGUGGCUAAUGCGAUGAAAUCCAUAAUGACUCCAGGAUAAAAAACAAAUGCUUACUAGGGGUGGGGAGGGGAACUAGAAUAGGGAUAGUCAAAUGUUGAUUAACAGAUACGAAAAUUCAGUUAGAUUGCAGGAAUAAGUUUUAGUGUUCCAUGGUAAUAUAGGGGGUGAAUCUAAUUGAUAACAAUUAAUUGUGUAUUUUUAAAUACCUAGAAGAGAGGAUUUUGAAUGUUCCCAACACAAAACAGGGAUAAAUGUUUGAGGUGAUGGAUAUGCUAAUUAUCCUGAUUUGAUCAUUACACACUAUAAUACAUGAAUUGAAAUAUCACACUGUACCCCAUAAAUAUGUACAAUAACUAUGUGUUGAUUAAAAAUAAUAAUAAAAGCAAAAACAUUAUUUGCUGCUUAUCUGAAAUUCAAAUAAAAAUAAAUGCUGACAUGGUU